GUGCCAGCCGCCGCGGUAAUACGGAGGGUGCAAGCGUUGUUCGGAAUUAUUGGGCGUAAAGCGCGUGUAGGCGGUUUUUUAAGUCUGAUGUGAAAGCCCUGGGCUCAACCUGGGAAGUGCAUUGGAUACUGGAAGACUUGAGUACGGGAGAGGGUAGUGGAAUUCCGAGUGUAGGAGUGAAAUCCGUAGAUAUUCGGAGGAACACCGGUGGCGAAGGCGGCUACCUGGACCGAUACUGACGCUGAGACGCGAAAGCGUGGGGAGCAAACAGGAUUAGAAACCCGCGUAGUCC
This 292-nucleotide ribosomal RNA is filed under the name uncultured bacterium. RNAcentral's name for it is "partial 16S ribosomal RNA". It matches the Rfam family "Bacterial small subunit ribosomal RNA", at positions 505 to 796 of the family's 1533-position model. The record is from RNAcentral.